UUGUUUUUCGAUGAAACCCUAACCCUUCUUCUCUUUGUUCUCCUCCCUCGUUCUGCCCUGUGUCCAGUCGACUAUCCCUUCUCACCCAAAAUUUAAGUUAAAUAAUGGCAGCAACGAUGGAGGCGGUUUGAUCAGAAGUGGUUCAAUUGAGAGAAGUUGUUUAAUCGCCGGCUACGUGUGGUUCAAUCAAUGCUUCAACCCAUUUUCAAACCCAGUUAUUUUAAUAUAUGCUAUCUACUCUGAUGUUUGUUAACAAUCCUAAGGGCCGGAAAUGAACUCUGUAAAGGCGUUUCAAGGCAAUUUCUAUUGUUCCGGUUGCAAGUAUGAAUUGAAGAUGCUGCUUUGGGUUGCAAGUAUGAAGAUAUAUGUAUUUGUGUAUGAAUAUUGAAGACGUUGUUCAGGAAGUUAGUGUAUAUCACUUUCAUCUUUAAUGAUAUAUAUAUUUGUGUUACUUUGAAACUUUUGUAACGUUGUAUUGCUUUGAAACCUUUGUAAUUUACAUUGGGUUAUUUUAUAUUGGUUUAAAUUAAUUUUGU
RNAcentral lists this long non-coding RNA (536 nucleotides) under Helianthus annuus (common sunflower). Its description in RNAcentral is "hypothetical non coding rna". The record is from RNAcentral. Lineage: Eukaryota; Viridiplantae; Streptophyta; Magnoliopsida; Asterales; Asteraceae.